This 1398-nucleotide ribosomal RNA is filed under the name Triticum aestivum (bread wheat). RNAcentral's name for it is "partial small subunit ribosomal RNA". The record is from RNAcentral. Lineage: Eukaryota; Viridiplantae; Streptophyta; Magnoliopsida; Poales; Poaceae.
AUGGACAAGUACUGCCGCCCCGUCGCUCUGUCCUCCCUGCUGCCCAUCCUCUGCUGCCUCUCUCUGCUCCGCGCCGGGGGCUCCGCCGCUUCAGUCGUCACCGACGGCGCCCCCGACGGCAGCGAGCUCUGGGGCUACGUCGAAGUCCGGCCAAAGGCUCACCUGUUCUGGUGGUACUACAAGAGCCCCCAGAGGGUGUCCACGCCCUCAAAACCAUGGCCGACCGUCCUCUGGCUGCAGGGCGGCCCGGGGGCGUCCGGCGUCGGGAUCGGCAACUUCCUGGAGGUCGGGCCGCUGGACGUGGACCUCAACCCCCGCAACUCCACCUGGCUGCAGAAGGCCGACCUCAUCUUCGUGGACAACCCCGUGGGCGUCGGGUACAGCUACGCGGAGAACGGCAGCGCGCUGGUGACGAGCGACUGGGAGGCGGCCGCGGACGCCACGGCGCUCCUCAAGGCGCUCGCCACGGAGGUGCCCGCCCUGCGGGAGGGGAGCCCGCUGUUCCUCGUCGCCGAGUCCUACGGCGGCAAGUACGCCGUCACGCUCGGCGUCUCCGCCGUCCGGGCCAUCCGCGCCGGCGAGCUCAACCUCACGCUCGCUGGCGUCGCGCUCGGCGACAGCUUCAUCUCCCCGGAGGAUUUCGCGCUCUCCUACGCGCCGCUGCUGCUGGACGUGUCGAGGCUGGACGACAACGCCGGCGACGCCACCAAAGGGAAGGCGGGGACCGUGAAGGAGCAGAUCGCUGCAGGACAGUUCGCCGCCGCGUGGAAGUCGUGGACGGAGUUGCUGGGGUUUAUCGACUCCAAGAGCGCUGGUGUUGACACCUACAAUUUCUUGCUUGACACGGGCAUGGACCCGGUGAAGGCGACCUCCUCUUCGUGGUCGGCGGCGAGCAAUGCCCAGACAGUGAAGUAUUCGACAUACCUCCGCCGCAAGGAGGCUGCAUCAGGUCCCAACACCAUCAGUGGCAUCAUGAACGGGGUCAUCAAGGAAAAGCUCAAAAUCAUCCCCAGUAACCUCAGGUGGCAAGGGAUAUCGGAGCUGGUCUACUAUGCGCUGGUCAACGACAUCAUGAAGCCUAGGAUCGACGAGGUUGAUGAGUUGUUGUCUUACGGUGUGAAUGUGACGGUGUACAAUGGCCAGCUCGAUGUGAUCUGCUCGACAAUCGGCGCGGAAGCAUGGGUGCAGAAGCUCAAAUGGGACGGGCUAAAGAACUUCACGAGCCUGCCAAGGCAGCCACUGUACUGUGGGUCCUCCAAGGUCACCCAAGCCUUCGUUAGAUCCUACAAGAACCUUCAUUUCUACUGGAUCCUUCGAGCUGGACACUUUGUGCCUGCUGACCAGCCUUGUAUUGCGCUGAGCAUGAUCAGUAGCAUAACCCAGUCUCCCGCAAGUUAG